Molecule: long non-coding RNA, 1394 nt
Filed under: Homo sapiens (human)
Lineage: Eukaryota; Metazoa; Chordata; Mammalia; Primates; Hominidae
Description: long intergenic non-protein coding RNA 963
Source: RNAcentral
GUACAGUUGGGUAAAUCGAGGCCCAGAGAUGGCAAAAGGACCGUCCAAGGUCGUACAGCCACCCGGAAUUACAAUUCUUUUCUGCCGGGUCACACGCUGUCAUCCACGUGUUACCUAAGAGAGCUUUCCAGCCUGUGCUAAGAAAACUGCCCCACAUCAUCUGCAGUAGGACGGGGGAGUUGGAGCCCUGGUCAGGCCACUCUGCUACUGACCACAGUUUUCUCAUCUCUAAAAAGGCGCAGUAACAAUAUAAUUACCGUAUGCAGUCCCCCAGGAUACAGGGUCAAAGGAGAGCACAACCAUCGCAGUUGGAAGCCCAUGGGGCAGCCCAGUGCAGAUGCAUCUGACUUACGAAACUUCAGUGACACCUGCUCUGUGCCAGACACUGAAGAUGGAGCAGUGAACAGCACUGACCCAGCCUGUCCUCCUGUUGCCUGCAGGCCAGCAAGGUCUCGCUGUGUUACCCUGGCUGGAGUGCAGUGGCUACUUACAGGCAUGAUCAUAGCAUACUGCAGCCUCGAACUCCUGGACUAGAGCAGUUCUCCUGCCUCAGCCUCCAGAGCAGCUGGGACUGCAGACACGCACCACAGAGCCCAGCCUGAGUCAUUUUGAUUCUGUAACUGGCUUCCUCUCGGCGGGCAGGCUCACACCCUCCACCCCCAGCUGGAGAUGGAAGGAGGAUGCUCACCGCCCAUUCCUCAUGCAGGCCAUCGAUGGAAAUGUCAGACAGUGCGAGUCCACGCCUGAACACUUCUGGGGUCCGCUCUGGGACUGACACUGGCAGAUCCAUCGGUGAGCUCCCGCCUGCCACCUCUGGGCCUGCAUUGCGGUGAUAGGGCCAAGGGCCUGGGCCUUCAAUUCUCCAGACUUGCCAAAAUGCUCAGCGCAGGCCUCGUCGGCAACUGCAGACAAGCAGAGGCAGCACCUGGGCUCUGCCUGUGCCUGGCACAGUGAAGCGAGGGUGGGGGCAGGAAUGAGGGUCCUCUCCAUGCAAGGGGGGAAGAUAGAAGAACAAAAUUUCACCCUAAUGUAGUGUCUUUAGACCGUGCAAUGUUGUGCUCCUGUUAGUCUGAUAUCAGGGGCUUGCAGCCUGGCAAAGGAAAAAAAACAGGCUGAGGCACAUGAUAGAAGACAGGCAGGGAUGCCACAAUCAUAACCAUGGCAAAGACCAGGAUCAGAAAGGCCCACCAUCUCUGACCCCAAAUCCCUGGGCAGAUGGUUCCAGAACUCAGAAUUUUCCCAGUUGUAGAAAGAUGGGGCCAGGUGCAGUGGCUCACGCCUGUAAUCCCAGCAUUUUGGGAGUACAAGGUGGGCGGAUCACCUGAGGUCAGGAGUUCGAGACCAGCCUGGCCAACAUGGUGAAACCCUGUCUCUACUAAAAAAAAAAAAAAAAA